This 255-nucleotide unclassified non-coding RNA is filed under the name Hevea brasiliensis (rubber tree). The record is from RNAcentral. Lineage: Eukaryota; Viridiplantae; Streptophyta; Magnoliopsida; Malpighiales; Euphorbiaceae.
CUUAUCUAAAACUUUGAUUCUAUUUCCUCUUUCUGCAGCUUUUCUUUUUGCUUGAAUUUGACGCACAUAUUCUGCUACUAUCACAUGGAACUUAGGAGCAAGUUUACUUGAUGAGGAAACAUUAAGACCUGCUUUCUUCAAAGCCCGAGUUACAUGCUUCUGAGCCUUUUGGAAGUGUACAGUGCAGAGAGAAGGAACAGUUGAUCUCAAUAUUGGCUUUCCACAUGUUAUAGGUCCUGACUGAGCACUCUUGAU